GCCUGGAUAAAGCCAUUUUGGUAGGCCGUACAUAGUGGCUUCAUAUUUCACCUCGUGGAAAAAAUAUUUCGCGUUGUAUUUCCUAUUGUGCAUCAGAGACUAGACGAUCGUUUCGUUGAAGUUGCAUAACUUCACCAGCCUGUGCAGGAUACCUGCGGAACUCGGUGUGUCGGAUUAGUUAACACGGGGACCGUACGCAGUUUUCAUUACGCGGCACAGUUGAAUGGUCGUCGUCCGGUGUUGACGUCCCAACGAACAAAGGAACCGUGAGGCCGACGCACGCUCGUUAGCGCAUUCAUAGCGAGAUAUUAUUUAUGAAAUCAUUUAAAAUUAAACCCACCCCGACGCCUUUUUUGUUAUAGAAUUUUAUUUUGAGAGUCUUAUCCUAAAACACAACUAACCAGUUAGCCUGAGUCAUUCAGACGUGUUAGCAACAUCGGCUAAGGUUAGCCGCAGUCGUGGACUACUAGCGAGCUAACUGCUAUAACUUUAGCAUUGUUUUGAUUCAAGAAAGAAGUUUUCUUUUUGGGCAAAAUGGCUGAAGUUUAUAUCCGAGUGGCAGAGGAGGAGAACGAGGAACCCAUGGAGAUCCCGUCAGAGGACGACGGCACGGUUCUGCUUUCAACGGUGGCAGCUCAGUUUCCAGGGGCGUGUGGCCUACGGUUCAGGAGCCCCGUGUCUCAGUGCAUGCGAGGAGUGCGUCUUGUGGAAGGAGUCCUACACGCGCCAGAAAACGGAUGGGGCAAUGUCGUGUACGUGGUGAACUACCCAAAAGACAACAAAAGAAAAAUGGAGGAAAUUGACGCCUCCUCUGCUGUAAAGAUGAAGAGAGGAGACAUGAAGACAUCCGACCUGAUCGUACUGGGUCUUCCUUGGAAAACAACUGAGCAGGACCUGAAGGACUACUUUAGCACAUUUGGAGAAGUCAUCAUGGUUCAGGUAAAACGAGAUGCCAAGACUGGAAACUCCAAAGGAUUCGGUUUUGUGAGGUUCACAGAGUAUGAGGCUCAGGAGAAGGUGAUCUCACAGCGCCAUAUGAUUGAUGGGAGAUGGUGCGACUGCAAGCUCCCAAACUCGAAGGUGAAUCUGCAAGGUCCUGAUGAGCCACUGAGGAGCCGGAAAGUGUUUGUAGGUCGUUGCACAGAAGACAUGACCACUGAUGACCUCCGGCAGUUCUUUAUGCAGUAUGGGGAGGUCACAGAUGUCUUCAUCCCCAAGCCAUUUCGUGCUUUUGCCUUUGUCACAUUUGCAGAUGAUCAGGUUGCCCAGUCUCUCUGUGGAGAGGACCUAAUAAUCAAAGGCGUCAGUGUUCACAUCUCAAAUGCUGAGCCCAAACAUGGCAAUAGGCAGUUUGAUCGCACAGCACGGUUUGGGAAUGGUUUUGGAGCUCAAGCAUUUGGUAGCAGCCGUAGUGGGUUAGGGAGCAGCACUAACAGUAGUCUGGCUAAUUUUGGGUCCUUCAGUCUGAACCCUGCCAUGAUGGCUGCCGCUCAGGCUGCUCUGCAGAGUAGUUGGGGGAUGAUGGGCAUGCUGGCUAGCCAGCAGCAGACAUCCACCUCAGGCAGCACCUCCAGUGGAACAAGCUCUAGUAGGGACCAGAGUCAGUCUUUCAGUACAGGCAACAGCAACUACGGCACCAGCUCAGCCAGUCUCGGCUGGGGAACAGGGUCAAACUCUACAACCACUGGUACAGGGUUUAGCUCAGGUUUUGGGACCAGUAUGGAGUCAAAGUCAUCUGGGUGGGGUAUGUAAGUUAAAUGUUUGUAUGGUAAGUAUUGUGACAGAGAUGAGUCUUUUCAAAAUUUAUUUCUGGUGUUGAUGCGUAUCUGAGAACUUAACACUUUUGUGGAAGAUGUUUUGUACAUUUGGAAAAAAUGCUAAAGAUUUAAUUUAGGAAGUGUUGAAGUGAAUUGUUUACCAGGAUGUCUGACUAAAGUGCUAUUUUUGAUGUCUCAUUUGUUUGUAUCCAUUUCAACUGGAUUCUCUAAUGCAUGUAUUGUGAAAUGUGAUAUAACCAUUUUGAAAAUGCAUGAAUGUUUGUGGUUCACCAUUAUCCGGCUUUGUCAUCGACCUAAAAGGCAAUCUUGCAUUGGGAAGAAUCUGGUUGAAACCUAAAUGUUUUAAGUGCAACUUUAUUUGCAGUCAAGUUCUGUGGAAAAGCCUUCAUUGAAAUCUCUUCUGCAGUUCACCUCUCUUCCAUUUUCCUGUGAGGAAGCUCCUCUUUGGCAGCAUUCUUGGGGUGAUAUCGGUAUCAUUCUCCCUCUUCCCACCUGUAAAUGCUAUGCCAUCAAAGAACGGCUUCACUCCGCAUGUUCUAAGAGACGGGACCUUGGGCUCUGCUGGUCGAGGUCUCCGUUUGAACCCUGACUGAAGUCUGUUCUGAAGGACGAAGACGGAAGUUCCAACACUUUCAGUGUGUGGCCUUCUCAGACAUGACAUGGGGUAGUACCUGUCUUUUUGCUGCUUUUGAUGGCUUGUCAGAGUGAAUCAUCCCUUUUUGAUUAUUCACAGCUACUCUUAAGGUUAGACGGAAGGUCUAGAGGGGAUCACUGUCUAUAGAAAUCCUUCAAUACAUGAGCUCAGCAGUGUGGCAUUACCUCUCCAAACUGUAUUUUUUAAGCCUUUAAUUUGGCUUAAACAAUCAGACAACUAAUAAUAUAUUAGGUAAUUUUAUGGCAUUUGUUCGGUAAGUUUUAGAUGACCAUACACACUUAGUGGCCACUUCAGAAGUACACCUGUACAUUCUAUUGUAAAGUUAUACAGAAGUUAUGUCAUAAAUGUCACUUUCAGGAAGUUGAAAAUGUUAAAUUUUAAGGGUUUCCUCAGAUCCUCAGAAAGUUUUAAAAGGCACUGACUUUUUCUUUUUUAAGGUCUUAAUUGGUAUUAAAAUACCUUAAAUUGGUCUUUCAAAAGUCUUAAAAUUGUGAAGACAUGGAAAGUAGUAUUUUAUAAAUAUUUUUCUUCCAAUGAAUCGUACAAUCUCAAAAGGCACCAGAUUCAUUUUUAAAAAUAUGGCCUUAAUUGGCGUUAAAAUGUCUUAAAUCAGUAUUUCAAAAGUCUUAAAAUUGUUAAGAUACGGGAAGUGUGAUUUUAUAAAUAUUUUUUUUUCCUGAUGAAUCGUAAAAUCACAAAAACGUACUGUUUUUUGUUUUUGGAAAAUUAGGCCUUAACUGGUAUUAAAAUGGCUUAAAUCAUUCUUUGAAAAAGUCUUAAAAUUGUCAAGACAUGGGACAUAGGUUUAUAUAUUUUUUCUUGUGAUGAAUCGUAAAAUCUCAAAAUAAUUAGUAACAUUUAUCUUUUUCCAAUAAAUGUCUCUCACAUUAGCAGCACCAAACGUUAUGUUUUAUGUUGUUAUAAAUAUUUGGGCACAACUGUCACUAUCUUUAAGUAACUGAUGGCGAUUUAUGUUUUUUUCUUCAAUAUUUAUAACUGUAAAUUUUGUCUUAAAUCUCGUUCUGCAUUAAAGUCUUAAAUCUAACUUGCCUUAAAUUAAAGGACCACUUAUUUUUGUAGGCAGCCGGAAAUUUUUAAUGCAAGCAUGUUUAACACUGAGGUUGUAGUUUGCGUUAUACUGGACUGGAUUAUAUUAACGUGUUUCUAAUUUUUUUCCCUUCCUAUCUACAUAUGAGUGGGGCAGACUAUUAAACUCCUCUGAACAUAAUGCAGACUCAUCACUACCUGUAGAGGUCAGUUUAUUAAGUAUUAACAAAAACAAAAAUUACAGGCAUCGUAAAAGUAGGCUUCAUGGCAGGUGUGUUGGAUUGCAUCAGAUUAUACAGGUGUACCUAAUAAAGUGGUCACUGAGUACACAUUAUGGACAGUUUGCCUGGCAGUCUUAACAAUACAAGUGAGGUCCCCCCCCCCAAAAAAACCAUUUAGAUUACUCAGUUUAAUGAAACAAGGUAGGUAUAUAAUUUAGCAGAGAUCUUGUAGUCAGUACUUUGGAGUCAGUUCAUGCAGGUUGUUGUUUGUCGAACCAGUGCCAAAUGCACUGUAAUUUGACAUUACAUCAGCAAGUCCCAGGACAGAUACCAGUCAGAGAAAGUACAUUAAACUUAUGUGAUACAUCAAAUGACAUCUGCUGUUGUAGGAUUGGUAGCUGAAUGUCUUUGGCACCUUUGACACUUAACUUCUUGUCAUGUGUUAGUCAGCCGUCAUGUUUAUUUGAAUGUUGGGCACAAGUGAGACACUGCGGGCCUGCCUGUGUCCUGUCCUUACUCUCUGCUCUCCUCCUCAGUGUCUCUACUCUUCCUCUUCCCAGUGCUCUUCUUUUUCAAAUCCCUCUGCUCCUGGUUCAGUUCUUCACUUUUAUUUUGUAUGUAGAUGGACUGAAAUAAAUAAAGGCAAAUUAAACAUUGA
This is an RNA transcript of Epinephelus lanceolatus (giant grouper), 4359 nucleotides long. It is a transcript of the gene named TAR DNA binding protein b, with no coding region annotated. Lineage: Eukaryota; Metazoa; Chordata; Actinopteri; Perciformes; Serranidae. The record is from RefSeq and is a predicted model, not a curated record.